This 1067-nucleotide long non-coding RNA is filed under the name Felis catus (domestic cat). RNAcentral's name for it is "lncRNA (ENSFCAG00000051097.1)". Lineage: Eukaryota; Metazoa; Chordata; Mammalia; Carnivora; Felidae. The record is from RNAcentral.
UGGGAGGCCAUGGAAGGUCUCUCUGAUGCAGACUGAUACCAAGCACAGGGCCAGGACAGAGCAGGGACACAAUAAAUAUCUACUGACUCUGACUUUAGUGUAGCGAUUCAUAUAGUCAAGGUAUGUGCCAAGUGCAUUGGGAGCAAGGAGGUGGGACUGUCUAGGUCUGCUUGAGGGGAUGGAAGGGUCACAGAGACAAGGAAGACCUGGGACUUGAAGGAGAAGAGAUCUAAUCACCGGCUUGAGAGGCCAUGAGGAUGAGCCGAAUAAGAUUGAUGAACCUGUCAGGUACACAAUAGCAGUGGGAAAAGCCUGGUUUCCUUCCUUCUCUCGAGCAGCUGGACGAGGGAGGGCGGCGUGGGGAUGUGGUCGGGCGGCAGAUGUCACGUCUCACUGCAUUUCUGCCUGUCACAGGCUGCUGGCCUGGGCGCUGAGCCCGCUCCCGCCUGAAUUCUCCCGACAGCUGCCCUGCUUCUCCACUUGGACUUGCCGGGGCUCCCGUUGGAACCAAGAAAAGCCUCUGCUCUGCUCCAGUCACACACAAAAAAAUAGCAAGAAUGAUGCAAUAUGUGUCUCUCAUGGCCACAAGCCACGGAGAAGGUCCAGGCGUCCAGAUCCCUACCCCAAAUUCACGCCAGCAUUGCAAAUCAAUGCCUUCUUGUUCCCAUGAAUCCUGGGUAACUCCCACCACUCUACCCGGCAGCAGCUCUGUCACCCCCUUAUCUCGUGACAAAGGCCACCAACCUAGCCACUGAGGCACAAAAUUGGCCGGGUGCAGAGAAAGAGUUUCUAAGUACCUAAUCCCUGUAACCUGACCUUUAAUUCUAAUAACAGUGACAUUUAUUAAAGAUUAUGUGCCUGGCACUGUUCUGAGCUCUUCAUAUUAACUCAUUUUAUCUUUACCAACGUAUUUUGAGGUAGGCACAGUUUAUAUCACCAUUUUACAGGAGGAGAAACGGAGUCUCAGGGGGAGUGAUGUCAGCAUUAUGGCAGCAUGAGACAUUCCUCCAUUCUCUCCCCUUUUAACAAUGAAUUAAACAUCCAUCCAUGAAGAUGUCUCAGAGUGA